RNAcentral lists this ribosomal RNA (439 nucleotides) under Gemella sp. oral taxon G07. Its description in RNAcentral is "bacterial SSU rRNA". It matches the Rfam family "Bacterial small subunit ribosomal RNA", at positions 39 to 465 of the family's 1533-position model. The record is from RNAcentral. Lineage: Bacteria; Bacillati; Bacillota; Bacilli; Caryophanales; Gemellaceae.
GCGGCGUGCCUAAUACAUGCAAGUCGAGCGAAGUUUUUCUGGUGCUUGCACUAGAAAAACUUAGCGGCGAACGGGUGAGUAACACGUAAAGAACCUGCCUCAUAGACUGGGACAACUAUUGGAAACGAUAGCUAAUACCGGAUAACAGCAUUAACUGCAUGGUUGAUGUUUAAAAGUUGGUUUUGCUAACACUAUGAGAUGGCUUUGCGGUGCAUUAGCUAGUUGGUGGGGUAAAGGCCUACCACGGCGACGAUGCAUAGCCGACCUGAGAGGGUGAUCGGCCACACUGGGACUGAGACACGGCCCAGACUCCUACGGGAGGCAGCAGUAGGGAAUCUUCCGCAAUGGGCGAAAGCCUGACGGAGCAACGCCGCGUGAGUGAAGAAGGAUUUCGGUUCGUAAAGCUCUGUUGUUAGGGAAGAAUGAUUGUGUAGUAACC